Molecule: ribosomal RNA, 505 nt
Filed under: uncultured bacterium
Lineage: Bacteria
Description: bacterial SSU rRNA
Rfam family: Bacterial small subunit ribosomal RNA
Source: RNAcentral
GAUGAACGCUAGCGGCGGGCCUAAUACAUGCAAGUUGAACGAGAUUGUUGGUAGCAAUACUGACAUGAAAGUGGCGCACGGGUGCGUAACACGUAUGUAACCUACCUUUAACUGGGGCAUAGCUUCGAGAAAUCGAAAUUAAUACCCCAUAACAUUUAGAAAAGGCAUCUUUUCUUUAUCAAAGUUCCGGCGGUUAAAGUUGGACAUGCGGUGCAUUAGCUUGUUGGUGAGGUAACGGCUCACCAAGGCUACGAUGCAUAGGGGGUCUGAGAGGAUGAUCCCCCACACUGGUACUGAGACACGGACCAGACUCCUACGGGAGGCAGCAGUAGGGAAUAUUGGGCAAUGGACGAAAGUCUGACCCAGCCACGCCGCGUGAAGGAUGACUGCCCUAUGGGUUGUAAACUUCUUUUGUAUGGGAAGAAAUUCCGAACGUGUUCGGAGCUGACGGUACCAUAAGAAUAAGCAUCGGCUAACUCCGUGCCAGCAGCCGCGGUAAUGUAGU